Gambusia affinis (western mosquitofish) is the source of this 435-nucleotide long non-coding RNA. RefSeq lists it as uncharacterized. The transcript has 4 exons. NCBI's taxonomy places the organism in Eukaryota, Metazoa, Chordata, Actinopteri, Cyprinodontiformes, Poeciliidae. The record is from RefSeq and is a predicted model, not a curated record.
GUGGGGUGCGCUCUAUAGUCCAGAGAAUAUGGAUCCAGCAGAGUGACAGAACGGCUCGAUGGGGAGCAGGAAGGACAGGCUGGAGCAUGCUGAACAUAUCGCAGAGAAAUCAGAGGAUGGAUUUAUGAAGCACAGCCACAUGAUGGCAGUGCUGCAUCUGAUAUGCCACAAACGCUGAACACUGCUACUGCGUUUCCCAGAGUGAUGCUCAGGCUUUGACAUGGAGAGCCGUGCCUUCCCUUCUUCAAGCAGCGUGAGUGAUGAAAGUGACAGAAGAGACACCUGCCCUAAACCACAGCUGAUAAAGGGGGAGAAAAACAACGAGGGAAGUGGAGGGAAGUGGGCGCCAUGCCUGAUGGGAGAAACACACAAGGAGGGAACAAACUUGCAGAGACUAUCACUUAUAGUGACAGGCCAGGAGGUGCCGUGCUAUUA